RNAcentral lists this small nuclear RNA (107 nucleotides) under Zalophus californianus (California sea lion). The record is from RNAcentral. RNAcentral also lists the same sequence under 1 other name. Lineage: Eukaryota; Metazoa; Chordata; Mammalia; Carnivora; Otariidae.
GUGCUCACUUUGGCAGCACAUACACUAGAAUUGGAACGAUACAGAGAAGAUUAGCAUGGCCCCUGCACAAGGAUGACACACAAAAUACACAGGGACAAAGUGCUUUC